GAGUUCUUAAAAAAGGAAGCUAAC
RNAcentral lists this non-coding RNA (24 nucleotides) under Drosophila melanogaster (fruit fly). The record is from RNAcentral. Lineage: Eukaryota; Metazoa; Arthropoda; Insecta; Diptera; Drosophilidae.